This 433-nucleotide ribosomal RNA is filed under the name uncultured bacterium. RNAcentral describes it as "partial 16S ribosomal RNA". It matches the Rfam family "Bacterial small subunit ribosomal RNA", at positions 29 to 507 of the family's 1533-position model. The record is from RNAcentral.
AACGAACGCUGGCGGCAUGCCUAACACAUGCAAGUCGAACGAGACCUUCGGGUCUAGUGGCGCACGGGUGCGUAACGCGUGGGAACUUGCCCUUAGGUUCGGAAUAACUCCCCGAAAGGGGUGCUAAUACCGGAUAAUGUCUUCGGACCAAAGAUUUAUCGCCUUUGGAUGGGCCCGCGUUGGAUUCGCUAGUUGGUAGGGUAAAAGCCUACCAAGGCGACGAUCCAUAGCUGGUCUGAGAGGAUGAUCAGCCACACUGGGACUGAGACACGGCCCAGACUCCUACGGGAGGCAGCAGUGGGGAAUAUUGGACAAUGGGCGAAAGCCUGAUCCAGCAAUGCCGCGUGAGUGAUGAAGGCCUUAGGGUUGUAAAGCUCUUUUACCCGGGAUGAUAAUGACAGUACCGGGAGAAUAAGCUCCGGCUAACUCCGUG